This 333-nucleotide ribosomal RNA is filed under the name Biddulphiella tridens. RNAcentral describes it as "SSU rRNA". It matches the Rfam family "Eukaryotic small subunit ribosomal RNA", at positions 627 to 961 of the family's 1831-position model. Lineage: Eukaryota; Bacillariophyta; Biddulphiophyceae; Biddulphiales; Biddulphiaceae. The record is from RNAcentral.
CUCGUAGUUGGAUUUCUGGUUGGAGCGAUCGGUCCGGCACUCUGUGUGGGUACUUGAAUCGUCUCCGGCCAUCCUUGGGGAGAGCCUGUCUGGCAUUAGGUUGUCGGGCAGGGGAUACCCAUCGUUUACUGUGAAAAAAUUAGAGUGUUCAAAGCAGGCUUAUGCCGAUGAAUAUAUUAGCAUGGAAUAAUAUUAUAAGACCUUGGUACUAUUUUGUUGGUUUGCGCACUGAGGUAAUGAUUAACAGGGACAGUUGGGGGUAUUCGUAUUCAAUUGUCAGAGGUGAAAUUCUUGGAUUUAUGGAAGACGAACUACUGCGAAAGCAUUUACCAA